ACCGCCCACCAGAAAGGAUUGGCAAAUCGUAGACAGGGUAGGGGUACGUAGCUUGCUACUUUUGCCGGCGAGCGGCGGACGGGUGAGUAAUGCCUGGGGAUCUGCCCAGUCGAGGGGGAUAACUACUGGAAACGGUAGCUAAUACCGCAUACGCCCUACGGGGGAAAGCAGGGGACCUUCGGGCCUUGCGCGAUUGGAUGAACCCAGGUGGGAUUAGCUAGUUGGUGAGGUAAUGGCUCACCAAGGCGACGAUCCCUAGCUGGUCUGAGAGGAUGAUCAGCCACACUGGAACUGAGACACGGUCCAGACUCCUACGGGAGGCAGCAGUGGGGAAUAUUGCACAAUGGGGGAAACCCUGAUGCAGCCAUGCCGCGUGUGUGAAGAAGGCCUUCGGGUUGUAAAGCACUUUCAGCGAGGAGGAAAGGUUGGUAGCUAAUAACUGCCAGCUGUGACGUUACUCGCAGAAGAAGCACCGGCUAACUCCGUGCCAGCAGCCGCGGUAAUACGGAGGGUGCAAGCGUUAAUCGGAAUUACUGGGCGUAAAGCGCACGCAGGCGGUUGGAUAAGUUAGAUGUGAAAGCCCCGGGCUCAACCUGGGAAUUGCAUUUAAAACUGUCCAGCUAGAGUCUUGUAGAGGGGGGUAGAAUUCCAGGUGUAGCGGUGAAAUGCGUAGAGAUCUGGAGGAAUACCGGUGGCGAAGGCGGCCCCCUGGACAAAGACUGACGCUCACGUGCGAAAGCGUGGGGGAGCAAACAGGAUUAGAUACCCUGGUAGUCCACGCCGUAAACGAUGUCGAUUUGGAGGCUGUGUCCUUGAGACGUGGCUUCCGGAGCUAACGCGUUAAAUCGACCGCCUGGGGAGUACGGCCGCAAGGUUAAAACUCAAUGAAUUGACGGGGGCCCGCACAAGCGGUGGAGCAUGUGGGUUUAAUUCGAUGCAACGCGAGAACCUUACCUGGUCCUUGACAUGUCUGGAAUCCUGUAGAGAUACGGGAGUGCCUUCGGGAAUCACAACACAGGUGCUGCAUGGCUGUCGUCAGCUCGUGUCGUGAGAAUGUUGGGUUAAGUCCCGCAACGAAGCGCAACCCCUGUCCUUUGUUUGCCAGCACGUAAUGGUGGGAACUCCAAGGGAGAACUGCCCGCUGGAUAAACACGCACGGAGAGUGGGGGAUGAAGUUCAAGUCAUUAUUUUGGCCGCUUACUAGGCCACGGGCUACUCAACAGGCUGACAAAUUGGAGCCGGUUCUGAAAGGCUGUCACCUCAUCCCACUUAGUGUAGUGGGAAUUCUCAAAAAAGACGGUCGCUAUUCUGGAUCGGAGAAUUGCAACUCGACUUCCCCUGCAAGUCGAAAUCCGCUAGGUAUCGCCAAAUCACACAGUUGCGUGAAUUACCGAUUCCUGGGCACUGUACAGAGCGUCGUCAACUGGCGACUGGACUUGGUCGAUUAGUGAU
Molecule: ribosomal RNA, 1452 nt
Filed under: Aeromonas veronii
Lineage: Bacteria; Pseudomonadati; Pseudomonadota; Gammaproteobacteria; Aeromonadales; Aeromonadaceae
Description: bacterial SSU rRNA
Rfam family: Bacterial small subunit ribosomal RNA
Source: RNAcentral